UGGGGAAUAUUGCACAAUGGGCGCAAGCCUGAUGCAGCCAUGCCGCGUGUGUGAAGAAGGCCUUCGGGUUGUAAAGCACUUUCAGCGGGGAGGAAGGCGUUAAGGUUAAUAACCUUGGCGAUUGACGUUACCCGCAGAAGAAGCACCGGCUAACUCCGUGCCAGCAGCCGCGGUAAUACGGAGGGUGCAAGCGUUAAUCGGAAUUACUGGGCGUAAAGCGCACGCAGGCGGUCUGUCAAGUCGGAUGUGAAAUCCCCGGGCUCAACCUGGGAACUGCAUGCGAAACUGGCAGGCUAGAGGCUUGGAGAGGGGGGUAGAAUUCCAGGUGUAGCGGUGAAAGGCGUAGAGAUCUGGAGGAAUACCGGUGGCGAAGGCGGCCCCCUGGACAAAGACGGACGCUCAGGUGCGAAAGCGUGGGGAGCAAACAGG
This 429-nucleotide ribosomal RNA is filed under the name Chloroflexota bacterium. Its description in RNAcentral is "Chloroflexi bacterium partial 16S ribosomal RNA". It matches the Rfam family "Bacterial small subunit ribosomal RNA", at positions 355 to 776 of the family's 1533-position model. The record is from RNAcentral. Lineage: Bacteria; Bacillati; Chloroflexota.